UACGUAGGUGGCGAGCGUUAUCCGGAAUUAUUGGGCGUAAAGCGCGCGCAGGCGGUUCCUUAAGUCUGAUGUGAAAGCCCACGGCUCAACCGUGGAGGGGUCAUUGGAAACUGGGGGAACUUGAGUGCAGAAGAGAAGAGCGGAAUUCCACGUGUAGCGGUGAAAUGCGUAGAGAUGUGGAGGAACACCAGUGGCGAAGGCGGCUCUUUGGUCUGUAACUGACACUGAGGCGCGACAGCGUGGGGAG
Molecule: ribosomal RNA, 247 nt
Filed under: uncultured bacterium
Lineage: Bacteria
Description: partial 16S ribosomal RNA
Rfam family: Bacterial small subunit ribosomal RNA
Source: RNAcentral